Molecule: ribosomal RNA, 388 nt
Filed under: Neosilurus ater (narrowfoot tandan)
Lineage: Eukaryota; Metazoa; Chordata; Actinopteri; Siluriformes; Plotosidae
Description: partial 12S ribosomal RNA
Rfam family: Bacterial small subunit ribosomal RNA
Source: RNAcentral
GCUUAGCCUUAAACCCAGAUGUACUAUUACACACACAUCCGCCCGGGUACUACGAGCACAGCUUAAAACCCAAAGGACUUGGCGGUGUCUCAGACCCACCUAGAGGAGCCUGUUCUAGAACCGAUAAUCCUCGUUAAACCUCACCACUUCUUGUCUUUAUCCGCCUAUAUACCGCCGUCGUCAGCUUACCUUGUGAAAGCCCCAGCAGUAAGCAAAAUUGGUAAAUCCAAAAACGUCAGGUCGAGGUGUAGCGUACGAAGUGGGAAGAAAUGGGCUACAUUUUCUAAUAAUAGAUUAUUACGAAUAGCACCCUGAAAAAGUGCCUAAAGGUGGAUUUAGCAGUAAAAAGUAAACAGAGAGUUCUUUUGAAUCAGGCUCUGAGACGCGC